This 468-nucleotide ribosomal RNA is filed under the name uncultured bacterium. RNAcentral describes it as "partial 16S ribosomal RNA". It matches the Rfam family "Bacterial small subunit ribosomal RNA", at positions 28 to 507 of the family's 1533-position model. The record is from RNAcentral.
GACGAACGCUGGCGGCGUGCUUAACACAUGCAAGUCGAACGGAAAGGCCCUGCUUUUGUGGGGUGCUCGAGUGGCGAACGGGUGAGUAACACGUGAGUAACCUGCCCUUGACUUUGGGAUAACUUCAGGAAACUGGGGCUAAUACCGGAUAGGAGCUCCUGCUGCAUGGUGGGGGUUGGAAAGUUUCGGCGGUUGGGGAUGGACUCGCGGCUUAUCAGCUUGUUGGUGGGGUAGUGGCUUACCAAGGCUUUGACGGGUAGCCGGCCUGAGAGGGUGACCGGCCACAUUGGGACUGAGAGACGGCCCAGACUCCUACGGGGGGCAGAAGGGGGGAAUAUGGCACAAUGGGAGGAAGCCUGAUGCAGCAACGCCGCGUGCGGGAUGACGGCCUUCGGGUUGUAAACCGCUUUCGCCUGUGACGAAGCGUGAGUGACGGUAAUGGGUAAAGAAGCACCGGCUAACUACGUG